UGAGAGGCCGAUUCACCCGCUCCUUCGCGGGAGAUGGUCCUCUGACUCCUCGCUUUCUCGAGGUUGUUAACUCUUUGUUCCAUGGUAUCCAUGAAGUUAAUCAACCUCGCCUCUAGAGCGGGAGGGAUGGAUGUCCGAGGGGGCAAAUCAGUUUGAGCCUCCUCAAACCCCUCAGCUUGCCUGUUUUGCUGAGGAGGCUCAGUUUGUGCCCUAUCGGGUACCAUUGGGGAUUUGCCUUUGUUCCUCGGAUGGUAGUCGUG
Molecule: long non-coding RNA, 260 nt
Filed under: Zostera marina
Lineage: Eukaryota; Viridiplantae; Streptophyta; Magnoliopsida; Alismatales; Zosteraceae
Description: long non-coding RNA (ZMAR_LNC005052)
Source: RNAcentral